UCCAUUCCCGAUACUUUUAGUGCAGCCU
Molecule: non-coding RNA, 28 nt
Filed under: Bombyx mori (domestic silkworm)
Lineage: Eukaryota; Metazoa; Arthropoda; Insecta; Lepidoptera; Bombycidae
Source: RNAcentral